This 1122-nucleotide ribosomal RNA is filed under the name Abrothallus parmotrematis. RNAcentral's name for it is "partial 12S ribosomal RNA". It matches the Rfam family "Bacterial small subunit ribosomal RNA", at positions 241 to 1533 of the family's 1533-position model. Lineage: Eukaryota; Fungi; Ascomycota; Dothideomycetes; Abrothallales; Abrothallaceae. The record is from RNAcentral.
UCAUUUGGUUUACCUCAUAAAACUGAAAACGAUACUGCUAUCCUGAGGGAAUCUUUGGCAGGAACCAGCUAUUUGAUGGUUCGAUUUGUCUUUCGCCCCUAUACCCAAAUUUGACGAUCGAAUUUCCCGUCAGAACCAUUUUUUUAUUUUUAUAAUCACCGGGGGGUGUCAAUGGCCUAACGGCUGAACCAGCAACUUGGGGGAAUGUAUUUCGAUUAUGUCGUAUAAAGUUCUAGAUAGAUUGAUGAUAAUGACAAUUUUCUAUCUAUAUGUCUUGACCAAAUCUUGUGCCAGCAGUCGCGGCAAGACAAGAGAGACUAGUGUUAUUCAUCUUUAUUAGGUUUAAAGGGUACCUAGACUGUAAAUUUAGCCCCUAAAGGGUACGUAUUUGCUAGAGUUAUUUGUGAGAGGAAUAUAGCAGAACUAUUGGUGUAAAGAUGAAAUUUUUUAAUACCAAUAUAACGGGUAACGGCGAAGGCAACCCUUUAUGUGAUAACUGACGUUGAGGGACGAAGGCUCAGGGAGCGAAGAGGAUUAGAUACCCCCGUAGUCUGGGCAGACAAUUAUGAGUGUCAUAGACUUAAGGCCAACUAGUAAAACUAAAUUGCUUUUUUUUUGCUAGUCGGUGGGGUCUAUAAAUGAAAAUGUAAGCACUCCACCUCAAGAGUAAUGUGGCAACGCAGGAACUGAAAUCAUUAGACCGUUUCUGAAACCAGUAGUGAAGUAUGUUAUUUAAUUCGAUGAUCCUCGAAAAACCUUACCAUAAUUUGUAUGUCAAUCUUAUAUUGAUACAAGCGUUGCAUGGCUGUCUUCAGUUAAUGUCGUGAGAUUUGGUUAGUUCCAUUAAAUUAACGUAAACCCUUGCUUUAUUUAGAUUUAUAAAGCAGCUCGCCGCGACAAUUGGGUGUGACAACAGGGACUAAGUACAAGUCAUGCRUKKCCUGAAUAUUAUGGGUACAAUGUAGACCCGGGAAAACCCUGGGGGGGGGGGGAAAUCUGUUCCUCAGACUCCAGGGACCCCCCCCUUUUGCGCGACAAAAAUCUGUUUUUAUAUCUCUUCACGACAUAGGGUUUUCGUCUUAAUACACGCGAAAUUUUCCACUCUCACGAACUUUAACUGGA